Molecule: ribosomal RNA, 439 nt
Filed under: uncultured bacterium
Lineage: Bacteria
Description: bacterial SSU rRNA
Rfam family: Bacterial small subunit ribosomal RNA
Source: RNAcentral
CCUACGGGAGGCAGCAGUGGGGAAUAUUGCACAAUGGACGAAAGUCUGAUGCAGCAACGCCGCGUGGAGGAUGACACAUUUCGGUGCGUAAACUCCUUUUAUAUAGGAAGAUAAUGACGGUACUAUAUGAAUAAGCACCGGCUAACUCCGUGCCAGCAGCCGCGGUAAUACGGAGGGUGCAAGCGUUACUCGGAAUCACUGGGCGUAAAGAGCGUGUAGGCGGGUAUAUAAGUCAGAAGUGAAAUCCAAUAGCUUAACUAUUGAACUGCUUUUGAAACUGUAUACCUAGAAUGUGGGAGAGGUAGAUGGAAUUUCUGGUGUAGGGGUAAAAUCCGUAGAGAUCAGAAGGAAUACCGAUUGCGAAGGCGAUCUACUGGAACAUUAUUGACGCUGAGACGCGAAAGCGUGGGGAGCAAACAGGAUUAGAUACCCCUGGUAG